This 405-nucleotide ribosomal RNA is filed under the name uncultured bacterium. RNAcentral's name for it is "bacterial SSU rRNA". It matches the Rfam family "Bacterial small subunit ribosomal RNA", at positions 28 to 438 of the family's 1533-position model. The record is from RNAcentral.
GAUGAACGCUAGCGGCGGGCCUAAUACAUGCAAGUCGAACGUGAAGCUCCUUCGGGAGUGGAAAGUGGCGGACGGGUGCGUAACGCGUAUGCAACUUACCCUUUACAGGGGGAUAGCCCAGAGAAAUUUGGAUUAAUACCCCAUAUAUCGGCAGUUUCACAUGGAACAACCGGGAAAGAUUUAUUGGUAAAGGAUGGGCAUGCGUAUGAUUAGCUAGUUGGUAAGGUAACGGCUUACCAAGGCAACGAUCAUUAGGGGGUCUGAGAGGAUGAUCCCCCACACUGGCACUGAGAUACGGGCCAGACUCCUACGGGAGGCAGCAGUAGGGAAUAUUGGGCAAUGGGCGAGAGCCUGACCCAGCCACGCCGCGUGAACGAAGAAGGUUUUGGAUUGUAAGUUCUUUUC